AGGCAGGUAGCUUAGGGGAUAAAGCAUUAGAUUCCGAUUCUAAAGAUCAAGGGUUCAAAUCCCUUUCUGCCUA
This 73-nucleotide transfer RNA is filed under the name Florenciella parvula. RNAcentral's name for it is "tRNA-Arg". It matches the Rfam family "tRNA". From Rfam's summary of the family: Transfer RNA (tRNA) molecules are approximately 80 nucleotides in length. The record is from RNAcentral. Lineage: Eukaryota; Dictyochophyceae; Florenciellales.